UACGUAGGGGGCAAGCGUUAUCCGGAAUCACUGGGCGUAAAGGGUGCGUAGGUGGUUUGACAAGUCAGAAGUGAAAGGCUACGGCUUAACCGUGGUAAGCUUUUGAAACUGUUAGACUUGAGUGCAGGAGAGGUAAGUGGAAUUCCUAGUGUAGCGGUGAAAUGCGUAGAUAUUAGGAGGAACACCAGUGGCGAAGGCGACUUACUGGACUGUAACUGACACUGAGGCACGAAAGCGUGGGGAGCAAACAGG
RNAcentral lists this ribosomal RNA (252 nucleotides) under uncultured bacterium. RNAcentral describes it as "partial 16S ribosomal RNA". It matches the Rfam family "Bacterial small subunit ribosomal RNA", at positions 524 to 776 of the family's 1533-position model. The record is from RNAcentral.